RNAcentral lists this ribosomal RNA (253 nucleotides) under uncultured bacterium. RNAcentral describes it as "partial 16S ribosomal RNA". It matches the Rfam family "Bacterial small subunit ribosomal RNA", at positions 524 to 776 of the family's 1533-position model. The record is from RNAcentral.
UACAGAGGGUGCGAGCGUUAAUCGGAAUUACUGGGCGUAAAGGGUGUGUAGGUGGUUAGGUAAGUUAGAUGUGAAAUCCCCGGGCUUAACCUGGGAACUGCGUUUAAAACUGCUUGGCUAGAGUAUUGCAGAGGAUAGUGGAAUUUCCAGUGUAGCGGUGAAAUGCGUAGAUAUUGGAAGGAACACCAGUGGCGAAGGCGACUAUCUGGGCAAAUACUGACACUGAGACACGAAAGCAUGGGGAGCAAACAGG